RNAcentral lists this ribosomal RNA (253 nucleotides) under uncultured bacterium. Its description in RNAcentral is "partial 16S ribosomal RNA". It matches the Rfam family "Bacterial small subunit ribosomal RNA", at positions 524 to 776 of the family's 1533-position model. The record is from RNAcentral.
GACGUAGGGCGCGAGCGUUGUCCGGAUUUAUUGGGCGUAAAGAGCUCGUAGGCGGCUUGUCGCGUCGUUCGUGAAAACUUGGGGCUCAACCCCAAGCUUGCGGUCGAUACGGGCAGGCUAGAGUUCGGUAGGGGAGACUGGAAUUCCUGGUGUAGCGGUGAAAUGCGCAGAUAUCAGGAGGAACACCAAUGGCGAAGGCAGCUCGCUGGAACGGUACUGACGCUGAGGCGCGAAAGCGUGGGGAGCGAACAGG